AGAGUUUGAUCCUGGCUCAGGAUGAACGCUAGCUACAGGCUUAACACAUGCAAGUCGAGGGGCAUCAGUUUGGUUUGCUUGCAAACCAAAGCUGGCGACCGGCGCACGGGUGAGUAACACGUAUCCAACCUGCCUCAUACUCGGGGAUAGCCUUUCGAAAGAAAGAUUAAUAUCCGAUAGCAUAUAUUUCCCGCAUGGGUUUUAUAUUAAAGAAAUUCGGUAUGAGAUGGGGAUGCGUUCCAUUAGUUUGUUGGCGGGGUAACGGCCCACCAAGACUACGAUGGAUAGGGGUUCUGAGAGGAAGGUCCCCCACAUUGGAACUGAGACACGGUCCAAACUCCUACGGGAGGCAGCAGUGAGGAAUAUUGGUCAAUGGACGCGAGUCUGAACCAGCCAAGUAGCGUGAAGGAUGACUGCCCUAUGGGUUGUAAACUUCUUUUAUAUGGGAAUAAAGUUGUCCACGUGUGGAUUUUUGUAUGUACCAUAUGAAUAAGGAUCGGCUAACUCCGUGCCAGCAGCCGCGGUAAUACGGAGGAUCCGAGCGUUAUCCGGAUUUAUUGGGUUUAAAGGGAGCGUAGGCGGAUUGUUAAGUCAGUUGUGAAAGUUUGCGGCUCAACCGUAAAAUUGCAGUUGAUACUGGCAGUCUUGAGUGCAGUAGAGGUGGGCGGAAUUCGUGGUGUAGCGGUGAAAUGCUUAGAUAUCACGAAGAACUCCGAUUGCGAAGGCAGCUCACUGGAGUGUAACUGACGCUGAUGCUCGAAAGUGUGGGUAUCAAACAGGAUUAGAUACCCUGGUAGUCCACACAGUAAACGAUGAAUACUCGCUGUUUGCGAUAUACAGUAAGCGGCCAAGCGAAAGCAUUAAGUAUUCCACCUGGGGAGUACGCCGGCAACGGUGAAACUCAAAGGAAUUGACGAGGGCCCGCACAAGCGGUGGAGCAUGUGGUUUAAUUCGAAGCAACGCGAAGAACCUUACCAAGUCUUGACAUCCUUCUGACCGGACAGUAAUGUGUCCUUUCCUUCGGGACAGAAGAGACAGGUGGUGCAUGGUUGUCGUCAGCUCGUGUCGUGAGAUGUUGGGUUAAGUCCCGCAACGAGCGCAACCCCUAUCCUCAGUAGCCAGCAGGUAAAGCUGGGCACUCUGUGGAGACUGCCAGGGAUAACCUGGAGGAAGGUGGGGAUGACGUCAAAUCAUCAUGCCCCUUAUGACUUGGGCUACACACGUGCUACAAUGGCGUAAACAAAGUGAAGCGAGAGUGUGAGCUUAAGCAAAUCACAAAAAUAACGUCUCAGUUCGGAUUGUAGUCUGCAACUCGACUACAUGAAGCUGGAGUCGCUAGUAAUCGCGAAUCAGAAUGUCGCGGUGAAUACGUUCCCGGGUCUUGUACAUACCGCCCGUCACACCAUGGGAGUCGGAAAUGCCCGAAGUCGGUGACCUAACGUAAGAAGGAGCUGCCGAAGGCAGGUCUGAUAACUGGGGUGAAGUCGUAACAAGGUA
Molecule: ribosomal RNA, 1497 nt
Filed under: metagenome
Description: bacterial SSU rRNA
Rfam family: Bacterial small subunit ribosomal RNA
Source: RNAcentral